CGCGCUGUCAAACUACACCAGUGUUCCCAAUGUUAUCGUUUCGGCCGUCCAUAAGCAGUCGUUUGGAUCGACCAUUCCAGAAUACAACAGCAUUUCCGUAUGGGUGGAGUAUAUCACAAUUUUCAAGUUUCGUGUCUGCAUCAAGGAAUUGCACACACCCAAUGGCUACGAUUCGGUCUUCGUGUCGGCUAUUGUGAUGGGUAAGUGACGAUGAUAGACUUCCUUAAUACCCCUCAACCGUCAGAAUAUACAACCGUUGGUGCUCUGCACGGGGAUUAUUGAUAUAAUUCACAAUAUUCAACGCGUAAGAAACUGAUUUUGACAUUUCUCUAUUUUUUGACAAUUUUUAAUUGUCACAAAUGUUUUAACUUUGCCACUCAGAUAACUUUAACACUUUUUUUCAGCCUGAAAUAAUUACAAUACAGAAAAGAUUGUCUAUUUAUUGAUGAAAGAUUAUUAUAUUGCUAAAUUUAUAUCGAAAUAAAAGUAUUUGCAUUGUUA
Molecule: long non-coding RNA, 501 nt
Organism: Nematostella vectensis (starlet sea anemone)
Lineage: Eukaryota; Metazoa; Cnidaria; Anthozoa; Actiniaria; Edwardsiidae
Exons: 2
Source: RefSeq, a predicted model, not a curated record